Molecule: ribosomal RNA, 1273 nt
Filed under: Bacillus sp. RTL12
Lineage: Bacteria; Bacillati; Bacillota; Bacilli; Caryophanales; Bacillaceae
Description: bacterial SSU rRNA
Rfam family: Bacterial small subunit ribosomal RNA
Source: RNAcentral
GCUUGCUCCCGGAUGUUAGCGGCGGACGGGUGAGUAACACGUGGGUAACCUGCCUGUAAGACUGGGAUAACUCCGGGAAACCGGAGCUAAUACCGGAUAGUUCCUUGAACCGCAUGGUUCAAGGAUGAAAGACGGUUUCGGCUGUCACUUACAGAUGGACCCGCGGCGCAUUAGCUAGUUGGUGAGGUAACGGCUCACCAAGGCGACGAUGCGUAGCCGACCUGAGAGGGUGAUCGGCCACACUGGGACUGAGACACGGCCCAGACUCCUACGGGAGGCAGCAGUAGGGAAUCUUCCGCAAUGGACGAAAGUCUGACGGAGCAACGCCGCGUGAGUGAUGAAGGUUUUCGGAUCGUAAAGCUCUGUUGUUAGGGAAGAACAAGUGCAAGAGUAACUGCUUGCACCUUGACGGUACCUAACCAGAAAGCCACGGCUAACUACGUGCCAGCAGCCGCGGUAAUACGUAGGUGGCAAGCGUUGUCCGGAAUUAUUGGGCGUAAAGGGCUCGCAGGCGGUUUCUUAAGUCUGAUGUGAAAGCCCCCGGCUCAACCGGGGAGGGUCAUUGGAAACUGGGAAACUUGAGUGCAGAAGAGGAGAGUGGAAUUUCCACGUGUAGCGGUGAAAUGCGUAGAGAUGUGGAGGAACACCAGUGGCGAAGGCGACUCUCUGGUCUGUAACUGACGCUGAGGAGCGAAAGCGUGGGGAGCGAACAGGAUUAGAUACCCUGGUAGUCCACGCCGUAAACGAUGAGUGCUAAGUGUUAGGGGGUUUCCGCCCCUUAGUGCUGCAGCUAACGCAUUAAGCACUCCGCCUGGGGAGUACGGUCGCAAGACUGAAACUCAAAGGAAUUGACGGGGGCCCGCACAAGCGGUGGAGCAUGUGGUUUAAUUCGAAGCAACGCGAAGAACCUUACCAGGUCUUGACAUCCUCUGACAACCCUAGAGAUAGGGCUUUCCCUUCGGGGACAGAGUGACAGGUGGUGCAUGGUUGUCGUCAGCUCGUGUCGUGAGAUGUUGGGUUAAGUCCCGCAACGAGCGCAACCCUUGAUCUUAGUUGCCAGCAUUCAGUUGGGCACUCUAAGGUGACUGCCGGUGACAAACCGGAGGAAGGUGGGGAUGACGUCAAAUCAUCAUGCCCCUUAUGACCUGGGCUACACACGUGCUACAAUGGACAGAACAAAGGGCUGCGAGACCGCAAGGUUUAGCCAAUCCCACAAAUCUGUUCUCAGUUCGGAUCGCAGUCUGCAACUCGACUGCGUGAAGCUGGAAUCGCU